Molecule: long non-coding RNA, 1375 nt
Organism: Scylla paramamosain (green mud crab)
Lineage: Eukaryota; Metazoa; Arthropoda; Malacostraca; Decapoda; Portunidae
Exons: 3
Source: RefSeq, a predicted model, not a curated record
GGAAUAGCACUGGCCUCCUGCACCGCCUCUCUCCUCUCUCUCAUUGGUGGAGGCCAUAAGCGUCCAUACCUCUCCUGCACACACACACACACACACACACACACACACACACACACACACACACACACACCACUCCGUCGCCCUGCAGUCCACACUCCACAACAGCACACCGUCAGCAGCGAGUGGCAGCAGGCGGGGUUGCUUGGCGUGAGCACCGUGGCGGCGUGCCCAGGCAGCGGGUGCUGCAGUGGGGUCGUGGCCGCGGAGGCAGACCAGCUCACGCAGGGCCAGAGCCAGGCCAGCUGGGUUAGGCCUGUGAGCACGAACGUUGGACAAAACCAAACGCACAGAAACAUCCGCGCACGGUAUUGGCUUUGCUUCUCCGCUGACGUCACAUGUUCCUUCUGACGUCACGCAGCGAGCCAGCCAAUGACGUCAGCCCCACGUCACACCCCGGCCUCCCGGAGCGGCAGGAGCGCUUACCACGGAGCAAAAAAGCGCUCGCUUUCAAACCAAACACUGACACGUUUCAGUGGAGUGAGUCUCUCUCGGCUCUCCUCCGCCGGCGGGUCUCUCGGGCCUCGGAGUCCUGGUGCAGGGAUUGAGGCGCCCUGGCCAUACAGGGAGUGAGAGAAGAUGUGGUGACUGUGGUGUGGUGUGGUGCAAGUGGUGCUGGUGUGGUGUUGGUAGUGGCUGUGGUGCGGGACAGCAUUAAACCACUCUGCUGCUGCUGCUGCUGCUGCUGCUGCUGCUGCUGCUGCACUUCGCCCAAGACACUAGGACAGCUGACGGAGAUGAGUGGGCGAGUGCGGCGUGAUGCUGUCGUCUUUUCGGCCAAUGGCACACAGUGAACAGACUGGUGGCACCACGGGGCGCGUCACUUUGACGCAGCGGCCGUCACACACUCACAGUCACACAGCAGACAAGCAGUUCACGGGGCCGUACAGCACGUAUUAUUUGCACGCCCACAUCCUAACACCCUCCGCCUACGUCCACUGUGCCCACGCCCACACCCCACCUGUGUCCCUCAACUGGCGUGCCCAAGAAGGUUCAUCACGACCCUGUCAGGAAACGCUUAGGAGGACAGUCAGUGUGGGCACGUGAGGGGACCUUGGGUCAUAAGAGGCCACGCAAGACUCCUGGCGUGGCCUUGGCUUGAGUAAUGACCUUUGUUUACUACAGAUGUGCUCCACAUCAAGGCGGUAAUCAAUAUGACGUAAGUUUAAUGAUAGAUUCCACCACAAGUGUCUAUGUAAUGAGUGUUGCAAUCACUCUAACUCUUCCAAUGCACGAGACAAUUGGAAAAUAAAUGAGUAAGUUCUUAUUAUCAGGUUAACAAAACCGUUGCAUUAUGACGAAAGAUUGAAAGAAGGAG